GUUGAAGAACGUAGUGAAAUGCGAUAAUUAAUGUGAAUUGCAGAAUUCAGUGAAUCAUCGAGUCUUUGAACGCACAUUGCGCCCCCUGGUAUUCCGGGGGGCAUGCCUGUCCGAGCGUCAUUGCUGCCCUCAAGCACGGCUUGUGUGUUGGGCUUCCGUCCCUGGCAACGGGGACGGGCCCAAAAGGCAGUGGCGGCACCAUGUCUGGUCCUCGAGCGUAUGGGGCUUUGUCACCCGCUCCCGUAGGUCCAGCUGGCAGCUAGCCUCGCAACCAAUCUUUUUAACCAGGUUGACCUCGGAUCAGGUAGGGAUACCCGCUGAACUUAAGCAUAUCAAUAAGCGGAGGA
This 347-nucleotide unclassified non-coding RNA is filed under the name soil metagenome. Its description in RNAcentral is "partial contains 5.8S ribosomal RNA, internal transcribed spacer 2, and large subunit ribosomal RNA". The stretch from base 1 to 120 matches the Rfam family "5.8S ribosomal RNA", at positions 35 to 154 of the family's 154-position model. The record is from RNAcentral.